This 298-nucleotide long non-coding RNA is filed under the name Elaeis guineensis (African oil palm). Its description in RNAcentral is "long non-coding RNA (EGUI_LNC035522)". Lineage: Eukaryota; Viridiplantae; Streptophyta; Magnoliopsida; Arecales; Arecaceae. The record is from RNAcentral.
GGUUAGCAGGUUAAUAAGUAAAAUAAAUGGGUUUGGGUUAGUGGAUUAUUGAGUGUGGGCUGUGGGUUGUGGUUAUGGGUUGAAGGGUUAGAGUUCGGAUCAGCUCAUGAGUGGUAGGGUUGGGUUUAGGUUUGGGUUAGGAUCAAGGGUUAGGGUUAGGUUAGUGGUAGGGUUGGAUUUGGGUUAGGAUUAGGGUUAGGUUAGCUGUUAGCAUUAAGGUUAGGUUUGGAUUAGUGUUGUAGAGAAUGGUAUGAUGAAGGGGAUGAGAAAAAAGAAAAAAUAAUUGAGGAAGAGGUAG